This 38-nucleotide ribosomal RNA is filed under the name Saccharomyces kudriavzevii. RNAcentral's name for it is "partial 26S ribosomal RNA". Lineage: Eukaryota; Fungi; Ascomycota; Saccharomycetes; Saccharomycetales; Saccharomycetaceae. The record is from RNAcentral.
UUUGACCUCAAAUCAGGUAGGAGUACCCGCUGAACUUA